RNAcentral lists this ribosomal RNA (253 nucleotides) under uncultured bacterium. Its description in RNAcentral is "partial 16S ribosomal RNA". It matches the Rfam family "Bacterial small subunit ribosomal RNA", at positions 524 to 776 of the family's 1533-position model. The record is from RNAcentral.
UACGGAGGGGGCUAGCGUUGUUCGGAAUUACUGGGCGUAGAGCGCACAUAGGCGGCUUUGUAAGUUAGAGGUGAAAGCCCGGGGCUCAACUCCGGAAUUGCCUUUAAGACUGCAUCGCUAGAAUUGUGGAGAGGUAAGUGGAAUUCCGAGUGUAGAGGUGAAAUUCGUAGAUAUUCGGAAGAACACCAGUGGCGAAGGCGACUUACUGGACACAUAUUGACGCUGAGGUGCGAAAGCGUGGGGAGCAAACAGG